UUCCAGACUCCUACGGGAGGCAGCAGUGGGGGAUAUUGCACAAUGGGGGAAACCCUGAUGCAGCAACGCCGCGUGAGUGAAGAAGUAUUUCGGUAUGUAAAGCUCUAUCAGCAGGGAAGAAAAUGACGGUACCUGAGUAAGAAGCCCCGGCUAACUACGUGCCAGCAGCCGCGGUAAUACGUAGGGGGCAAGCGUUAUCCGGAUUUACUGGGUGUAAAGGGAGCGUAGACGGCGAUGCAAGUCUGAAGUGAAAGCCCGGGGCUCAACCCCGGGACUGCUUUGGAAACUGUAUGGCUGGAGUGCUGGAGAGGCAAGCGGAAUUCCUAGUGUAGCGGUGAAAUGCGUAGAUAUUAGGAGGAACACCGGCGGCGAAGGCGGCCUGCUGGACCGCGACUGACGUUGAGGCUCGAAAGCGUGGGGAGCGAACAGGAUUAGAUACCCGUGUAGA
RNAcentral lists this ribosomal RNA (448 nucleotides) under uncultured bacterium. Its description in RNAcentral is "bacterial SSU rRNA". It matches the Rfam family "Bacterial small subunit ribosomal RNA", at positions 329 to 794 of the family's 1533-position model. The record is from RNAcentral.